Molecule: ribosomal RNA, 774 nt
Filed under: uncultured Neocallimastigales
Lineage: Eukaryota; Fungi; Neocallimastigomycota; Neocallimastigomycetes; Neocallimastigales
Description: partial large subunit ribosomal RNA
Rfam family: Eukaryotic large subunit ribosomal RNA
Source: RNAcentral
UCAGACGAUGCGUCAUGCAUAUCAAUAAGCGGAGGAAAAGAAACUAACAAGGAUUCCCCUAGUAACGGCGAGUGAAGCGGGAAGAGCUCAAAUUUGAAAUCUUAAAGGGUUUCCCUUUACGAAUUGUAGUUUAAAGAAGUGUUUUCUGUUGAGGUUUUGGUAAAAGUUCUUUGGAAUAGGACAUCAUAGAGGGUGAGAAUCCCGUAUUUGACCUUUACUUUCAACUUUGUGAUACACUUUCAAAGAGUCGGAUUGUUUGGGAAUGCAGUCCAAAAUGGGUGGUAAAUUUCAGUCUAAAGCUAGAUAUUGGCGAGAGACCGAUAGCGAACAAGUACCGUGAGGGAAAGAUGAAAAGAACUUUGAAAAGAGAGUUAAACAGUACGUGAAAUUGUCAAAAGGGAAGCGUUUGACACCAGUGUUGUUUUUCUGAAAAUCAAUUAAAGAACUGUUUAUGCUAAGCUGUUUAGACUUUAUCAGCUAUCUGUUUAGUUUUGAGCUUUUCUUUAAUGCACUUUUCAGUUAACAAGUCAACAUCAAUUUCUUUUGCUGUAAAAAAGCUUGAGGAAGGUGGCUUGAGAUUCGUCUUAAGUGUUUAUAGCCUCUUGCCUAUGCAGUCGGAGAGAUUGAGGUCUGCAGCGUAGAUCCUUCGGGGCUAAAUGCAUUUGUGCUAAGUUAUAGCAUUUUAUAGACAACUUGUUGACUAUGAUUUGUCUUGUAGCUUACUCGCUUAUGUUAUUUUACCUACGCUUAGGAUGUUGACACACGCGCGUGCUC